GAAUCUUCCACAAUGGACGAAAGUCUGAUGGAGCAAUGCCGCGUGAGCGAAGAAGGUUUUCGGAUCGUAAAGCUCUGUUGGAAGGGAAGAACACGUACGGGAGUAACUGCCCGUGCCAUGACGGUACCUUAUUAGAAAGCCACGGCUAACUACGUGCCAGCAGCCGCGGUAAUACGUAGGUGGCAAGCGCUGUCCGGAAUUAUUGGGCGUAAAGCGCGCGCAGGCGGUUCUUUAAGUCUGAUGUGAAAGCCCACGGCUCAACCGUGGAGGGUCAUUGGAAACUGGAGAACUUGAGUACAGAAGAGGAAAGCGGAAUUCCACGUGUAGCGGUGAAAUGCGUAGAGAUGUGGAGGAACACCAGUGGCGAAGGCGCCCUUCCCGCUUCAACAGACGCUAAGGUACGGAAGCUUAGGUAGCAAAC
This 421-nucleotide ribosomal RNA is filed under the name uncultured bacterium. RNAcentral describes it as "partial 16S ribosomal RNA". It matches the Rfam family "Bacterial small subunit ribosomal RNA", at positions 359 to 773 of the family's 1533-position model. The record is from RNAcentral.